GAUGAACGCUGGCGGCGUGCCUAAUACAUGCCAGUCGAGCGAACAGACGAGGAGCUUGCUCCUCUGACGUUAGCGGCGGACGGGUGAGUAACACGUGGAUAACCUACCUAUAAUACUGGGAUAACUUCGGGAAACCGGAGCUAAUACCGGAUAAUAUAUUGAACCGCAUGGUUCAAUAGUGAAAGACGGUUUUGCUGUCACUUAUAGAUGGAUCCUCGCCGCAUUAGCUAGUUGGUAAGGUAACGGCUUACCAAGGCAACGAUGCGUAGCCGACCUGAGAGGGUGAUCGGCCACACUGGAACUGAGACACGGUCCAGACUCCUACGGGAGGCAGCAGUAGGGAAUCUUCCGCAAUGGGCGAAAGCCUGACGGAGCAACGCCGCGUGAGUGAUGAAGGUCUUCGGAUCGUAAAACUCUGUUAUUAGGGAAGAACAAAUGUGUAAGUAACUAUGCACGUCUUGACGGUACCUAAUCAGAAAGCCACGGCUAACUACGUG
This 497-nucleotide ribosomal RNA is filed under the name uncultured bacterium. RNAcentral describes it as "partial 16S ribosomal RNA". It matches the Rfam family "Bacterial small subunit ribosomal RNA", at positions 28 to 507 of the family's 1533-position model. The record is from RNAcentral.